Molecule: ribosomal RNA, 451 nt
Filed under: uncultured bacterium
Lineage: Bacteria
Description: partial 16S ribosomal RNA
Rfam family: Bacterial small subunit ribosomal RNA
Source: RNAcentral
GUGGGGAAUAUUGGACAAUGGGGGGAACCCUGAUCCAGCCAUGCCGCGUGUGUGAAGAAGGCCUUUUGGUUGUAAAGCACUUUAAGCGAGGAGGAGGCUACCGAGAUUAAUACUCUUGGAUAGUGGACGUUACUCGCAGAAUAAGCACCGGCUAACUCUGUGCCAGCAGCAGCGGUAAUACAGAGGGUGCAAGCGUUAAUCGGAUUUACUGGGCGUACAGCGCGCGUAGGUGGCCAAUUAAGUCAAAUGUGAAAUCCCCGAGCUUAACUUGGGAAUUGCAGUCGAUACUGGUUGGCUAGAGUAUGGGAGAGGAUGGUAGAAUUCCAGGUGUAGCGGUGAAAUGCGUAGAGAUCUGGAGGAAUACCGAUGGCGAAGGCAGCCAUCUGGCCUAAUACUGACACUGAGGUGCGAAAGCAUGGGGAGCAAACAGGAUUAGAUACCCUAGUAGUCC